GAUGAACGCUAGCGGCAGGCCUAACACAUGCAAGUCGGAGGGGCAGCAUAGAUUGCUUGCAAUCUGAUGGCGACCGGCGCACGGGUGCGUAACGCGUAUACAAUUUACCUUAUACAAGGGGAUAGGCUUUAGAAAUGGAGAUUAAUACCCCAUGGUUCUGUUUUCUGCAUGGGAGAAUAGAUAAAGAUUUAUUGGUAUAAGAUAAGUAUGCGUCCUAUUAGCUAGAUGGUAAGGUAACGGCUUACCAUGGCGACGAUAGGUAGGGGUCCUGAGAGGGUUACUCCCCACACUGGUACUGAGACACGGACCAGACUCCGUACGGGAGGCAGCAGUGAGGAAUAUUGGACAA
RNAcentral lists this ribosomal RNA (349 nucleotides) under uncultured bacterium. RNAcentral's name for it is "bacterial SSU rRNA". It matches the Rfam family "Bacterial small subunit ribosomal RNA", at positions 28 to 371 of the family's 1533-position model. The record is from RNAcentral.